Long non-coding RNA from Canis lupus familiaris (dog), 306 nucleotides. RefSeq lists it as uncharacterized. Lineage: Eukaryota; Metazoa; Chordata; Mammalia; Carnivora; Canidae. The record is from RefSeq and is a predicted model, not a curated record. The transcript has 3 exons.
UGAAAACAAGGACCCUGAAGUACAGAGAUUAUGUCUAGGAUCACAGUUAAAAAAUAUGUAAUAGCUGAAGCUUCAGAAGCCAUUCUGAAUCAUGAAGACAAAGCCACAGCCUACACAAGCUACAUCAGUCUCUGUGGCGGAUUUCUAUUGAUGAACUUGUUCGUUUCUGACUCAUGAAAACAACUCAGCCAGUUAUGAGAAAAGAAACUUCAGCUGAAAAUGAUGAAGAGCAUUCUCUGUAGGGAAUAAACAAUUUAAUUUGGUUUGUUUUGUUGCUAAUCUUAACUCAGAUGGUACCCAGUUGUA